AGCAAUGCCUCCUGCUCCUCUCGAUCCCCUCGACGUACGAUCUGUGACUGCAGACGCACGAGAUCGCCGCAGCCGCUGCUCCUCCUCUCCCGGGACGCAGCCGCCACCGCCGAACCAGGGAGACGCCAGCGACCGUCGCUGCCGUCGCGGAUCACCAGGAAGCCACCGCCACCGUCGCGCCUCGGAUAUGUCGCGGAUCACCGAGACGCGGCCGUCGUGGAUCAGGAACACCAGGACACCACCGGCGGCGGCCCCUUGGAUACCGGCGACCGGCGGCGAUCUGAGACCAACGAGUCGGCACCACACCCCUGAUAUUGUUGCUAUUGUGAAAUUCGUAUUGCUGUGAACCAAUUGGCUUGACUAUUAGGGUGCAAAAAAAAGAGCACUCACUAUUGAAUUUCUGGAUCCGCCACUGCUUAUACAGGCACGUAGUAUGGGCUGACUGUCAGGGUCCUGACACGGGCUCUCCUUGUCCUGAUCUGAUCUUGAUGCUACUCGGUCAAUCUAUGAUGUUUGUUUCCCGUGUUUACAUGGCAGAGUGGUUGCUGCACUCGCUUUUGGAUGUGGAUGCAAGUUGGGAACUCAUUCAGUGAUUUGAGGGUGCAGGUAGAGAUGAUGCUGCGGAUGGGAUGGGAAGAUGCGUGUGUGCUAGCUGCCAUUGCAGGGACUUUUUAUUUUUUGGAUAGUUCAGCGUCUUAUUACGAAUCUGAUAGUGCUAUCUGCCACACAUACACCAUGUUACAAUUCUAUUUACAUGCGACUCAGAGAAAGAAUUGCUUUGCAGGUUGCCAACAUCACGAAUUUCAUACUUAUGGAGUGGAGCCACCAAACUAUUUAUGAGGAAAUAUGUUGAAGCACUGAAUAUAUUCCAUUUGCAGUGGACAAACAGAACAACACAACACAUAAGCAGAGGAAAGACAUGGUUGCUCUUGCUUCAUCUAAAUAGGCCAUCUGGAAUGCCAUGAGACCAGGACAUGGUUGCUCUUGCUUCAUCUAAAUAGGCCAUCUGGAAUGCCAUGAGACCAGGUUGUCCUAUCAUUUUGAAUUUGUUUACUAACACCACAACUACCACAUCCUCGCUAAACGACAGAGGUUGCUAGCAACUACACGUGGAAAGAUUGAAUGUGAUAUUCUGUCUACUAAUCAAUAGUGUAUUACUAAAACUACAUAUUGAUGACUUUUUAGUUAAACAACAGAUAGUAUUGUCCCCAGUUCUGCUUGAUUUGAUUUUUAUUUCCCAUCAGUUUUUUGUUUUGUCAGAGAAUGGUUUUUCUUUACCUACGGUAGUCCCUGUACUCAGGUAAAUCCUUUUGCAUCAUUUCACUAUUGGUUCUGUCGUAAUUGUAUUAGAUUGGGAUUGCAACAUGUGGGCUCCAACAAACAUAAUUUCAAAAUUGCACGUUAUUUGUAUGACAUAAAAUUAAAUGAGAUAUCACUCAACUCACAUGAACUUUGGAUAACAUUGUAGUUAAACAUUGAUUACUUGCAAUGCAUUAGCAACCCCAAAAUGUUAGAACUGAAUCUUGAACGCUUGUAACAAAAUUUUACCAUCCUCAAGAAUUUAAAGAGAAAGAAAGGUUUGCACUUACAUUCCUGUUAGUCCACUGCCAAUUCAUAGUAUUGUUAGGAUUUCUGGGAUCCUACAUUUUGACUAUUUAGCUGAUCCCAAGUUAUUUAUAUAUUUUUAUCCCAUUACAUCAUAUCUUUUUAGUUGCACGUAUUAAUUUACUGAUUGUGUACUGGAAGCAAUUUGCUGACUUGUGUAGUAUUUAGCUGAUCCCAGGUUAGGCUUUUAAGUUUUCUCUCAUUACACCAUUGCAUUUUAGAAUUUUGUAGCUAAAAGUUUCCAUUAAAUUGGUGCCCGUAUUAGAGGGAGGCAUCGGUUAACUAAGCAUAUCGUCGCACGUAUAGAGACCUCCAGUCCAGCAUGUCAAGGUUGCUCUGCGCGGGCUCGAUUAGAGGGGGCAUGGACUUUAUUAAGAACGAGUGAGUGCCGUCCUGUAUCAAGUGCAUGUCAUGGGUUUGAUAAUAUUUUAAAGAAUCAAUUUGUACUACAUUAUUCGCUGGAGGUAGCAUCACGAUGACACAGAAUUAAGGACUCGUGAUUGGGAGUGUCUAAAAAUUUAUCAACUAUUCUGAUGUUCCAUAAAUCGUUAGUUUACCGAAAAAGGAAGGAGCUACCAUCGAGGUUUGAUUGCGUUCAUCUUGGACUAAUCAUGAUCAAUUUGAUGAGGCCUCCAUCAGUUUCGUAUAGGUUGUGCUAAGGAUUCAACAAAUUAUGAGAAACCUGACGUCGAAAGAUAGUGAUAGACCAUCGGAUGAAGUUUACUAUAUGUUUUUGUCUAAGCAUAUCGUCGCACGUAUAGAGACCUCCAGUCCAGCAUGUCAAGGUUGCUCUGCGCGGGCUCGAUUAGAGGGGGCAUGGACUUUAUUAAGAACGAGUGAGUGCUGUCCUGUAUCAAGUGCAUGUCAUGGGUUUGAUAAUAUUUUAAAGAAUCAAUUUGUACUACAUUAUUCGUUGGAGGUAGCAUCACGAUGACACAGAAUUAAGGACUCGUGAUUGGGAGUGUCUAAAAAUUUAUCAACUAUUCUGAUGUUCCAUAAAUCGUUAGUUUACUGAAAAAGGAAGGAGCUACCAUCGCGGUUUGAUUGCGUUCAUCUUGGACUAAUCAUGAUCAAUUUGAUGAGGCCCCCAUCAGUUUCGUAUAGGUUGUGCUAAGGAUUCAACAAAUUAUGAGAAACCUGACGUCGAAAGAUAGUGAUAGACCAUCGGAUGAAGUUUACUAUAUGUUUUUGUCUUUACCAUGUUUUUUCUUAUACCAUGUUGAUUUUCAAAUAAAGUGCAAGUUGUGAAUGAAAGAGUAGACAUUUUCUUAUUUAUGUCAAAUUUUGCAACAAAUUUUUUUGCCUUACCAAUCAUGCGGUGUGGGUGCUCACCGGCGCUGGAGCUGAGGUUCUGCGAAUUCUUGUUUAGGGAUCCGAUGGAGAGCUCGGAUGUGGCAUCACAGCCGUUGAGCGACAGGGUCACGCCGAAGCUACUGCUCGGCUGCACGGAUUGCGUCACUGUCAUGCCGGGCGAGCCGCAUGUAUGAUUUUCUUUGGUUGCCUCUGGUGGUCUUGGCAACAUGCGCUCCCAGGAUUACAAAUUCAACUGCCAGAUGGACUGGAUCCGGAAAGACAUAUACGACGGGUACCAAUUAUACUGGUGAAGCUAAUCAUGGAGGAAUAAUUGCACCUCUCAUGGAGACGAUAUUCAGGAAAUCUGAUGUGAUGAACCGUCAUACAGAGUUCUUAAUUAGGGUAUCCUUCAUCGAGAUAUUCAAGGAGGAAGUAUUUGAUUUACUUGAUGAUCAUGGGUCUGUUGCAAAAGUGGCAGCGCCUGCUAGAGUGCCUAUUCAGAUUCGACAAAACUGCAAAUGGAAGCAUUACACUUGCUGGCGUGAUGGAGGCUGAGGUCAAGUCAAAAGAAGAUAUGGGCCAUAUGGCCAUGCACUUGGCAUGAGUAUCUUCGUCACGCGCAACUGGAAGUACAAACAUACAUAGCCAGGCAAGGGUGAUUGAGGAGUAAAUGCAAAGGUACAAAGAGUAACUGAUAAGUGUGUUUGAACAAUGACAGUUGUUCACAUUAGGCAUUUGCGUAGAGCUGCAAGAGUGGUGGACAUGCAACACAGGGAGGUGAAAGAAGGGAGGAUAAGGAAGGAUGGAGGGAGGUGACAAAGCUGGGAGAAAGGAGGGAGACACCAAGGAAGGUGGCC
This is a non-coding RNA of Aegilops tauschii subsp. strangulata, 3755 nucleotides long. Lineage: Eukaryota; Viridiplantae; Streptophyta; Magnoliopsida; Poales; Poaceae. The record is from RefSeq and is a predicted model, not a curated record.